This 465-nucleotide ribosomal RNA is filed under the name Vreelandella stevensii. RNAcentral's name for it is "partial 16S ribosomal RNA". It matches the Rfam family "Bacterial small subunit ribosomal RNA", at positions 338 to 795 of the family's 1533-position model. The record is from RNAcentral. Lineage: Bacteria; Pseudomonadati; Pseudomonadota; Gammaproteobacteria; Oceanospirillales; Halomonadaceae.
CCUACGGGCGGCAGCAGUGGGGAAUAUUGGACAAUGGGGGGAACCCUGAUCCAGCCAUGCCGCGUGUGUGAAGAAGGCCCUCGGGUUGUAAAGCACUUUCAGUGAGGAAGAACGCCUGGUGGUUAAUACCCAUCAGGAAAGACAUCACUCACAGAAGAAGCACCGGCUAACUCCGUGCCAGCAGCCGCGGUAAUACGGAGGGUGCGAGCGUUAAUCGGAAUUACUGGGCGUAAAGCGCGCGUAGGUGGCUUGAUAAGCCGGUUGUGAAAGCCCCGGGCUCAACCUGGGAACGGCAUCUGGAACUGUCAAGCUAGAGUGCAGGAGAGGAAGGUAGAAUUCCCGGUGUAGCGGUGAAAUGCGUAGAGAUCGGGAGGAAUACCAGUGGCGAAGGCGGCCUUCUGGACUGACACUGACACUGAGGUGCGAAAGCGUGGGUAGCAAACAGGAUUAGAUACCCUAGUAGUC